CCCACAAAUCUAACUGAGAGAAUGUGCUGCCUCGGUAUUUCCGUCUAAAACGUCGCCGUAUCAUUAACAGAAGCCGCCGGUUAUAAUGUCGUGCUUCAUUCUGAGGCCUCGGCAAUACAAGAUCCGAGAAGUAGGAUUGUCCAGGUAAUGCAUCCGGCGCUAGCGCCGGAUGGUGUGGAGGCGAUUAUCGGAGUGGAUGGGGUGAGAGAGAGGAGCUGAAGGGAGAACGGUGUCGGGAGCUCACGCAGGCUAAAAAAAUUGUGUGCACGAUCUGGCCUCGUACUUGCGGGUUGGACGAGCUCGAGGCACUAUUCGAUCGGCGGCACGGAAGUCGCGAGGUGGAACAUGUGCGACCGGACGCGGGAGUGGCACGAAGCCGUGAUCGAACGAGUAAGGAGGUUGAAUGAGGAGAAUUGUUUUGGCGUGGCGGUUAUAACGGGUAUGAAGAGGAGCGAAAUUCGCAUGGGGGAUCUAAACGGUUUUGCUUCAGCCAAAGUGGAGAUAUUCCGAGUUUUAUCUCGCAGGAUGGUGAAAUAUGGACGUUCAGUGUUCGCGCAGUUGAUUCACAUUGUCCUGAAGGUACGGUUGCCGUGAAACGAUGAUGGUUUUGCUGAAGUGCAGUGUUUGGCCGGAUGGUGGAUCGUGAUAAGCUGAUUUUCCUUCUUCCUUCACAUCACAUUUGCUUGAAGUUUUGGUCAGUCACCCUGCAUACACUGCAUUCGGAUGGUUAUAAAACAUGUGAUAAAACUGACUUUCAUUCUAACUAGGAGAAUUUUCUUAAAAAACACAAAAACAAAACAAGUUCAAUAGCUAAUAAGAUAUCUUUCGAGGAU
Non-coding RNA from Carica papaya (papaya), 833 nucleotides. NCBI's taxonomy places the organism in Eukaryota, Viridiplantae, Streptophyta, Magnoliopsida, Brassicales, Caricaceae. The record is from RefSeq and is a predicted model, not a curated record.